CCCUCAGAUGUUCUGGGCCGCACGCGUGCUACACUGAGUGGAUCAGCGGGUCAGGUUGCGCGAAAGUGUUUCCUAAUCUUGAAAUCCGCUCGUGAUGGGGAUUGACGGUUGCAAUUUUCCGUCAUGAACGAGGAAUACCUUGUAAGCGCGGGUCAUCAUCCCGCGCUGAAUACGUCCCUGCCCUUUGUACACACCGCCCGUCGCUCCUACCGAUUGAGUGGUCCGGUGAGGCUUUGGGAUCUGAGCAAAGAGAGCGUUUCGCUCGUUUUGCCCGGAAAACUCAGUCGAACCUUAUCAUUUAGAGGAAGGAGAAGUCGUAACA
Molecule: ribosomal RNA, 322 nt
Filed under: uncultured eukaryote
Lineage: Eukaryota
Description: partial 18S ribosomal RNA
Rfam family: Eukaryotic small subunit ribosomal RNA
Source: RNAcentral